GAGCCAUUAGCUCAGUUGGUAGAGCAUCUGACUUUUAAUCAGAGGGUCGAAGGUUCGAGCCCUUCAUGGCUCA
Molecule: non-coding RNA, 73 nt
Organism: Thermoactinomyces sp. DSM 45891
Lineage: Bacteria; Bacillati; Bacillota; Bacilli; Caryophanales; Thermoactinomycetaceae
Source: Rfam